UGGACCUAAUAGUUUGCCAUGAUAAAAGCACACACACACACACAUACAUACACAAACUCACAUAUGUUCAGCUUUGCUUAUACUCCCAUUUGUUUUUUGUCUUCGCAGUUUAUAAUAGCUACUCACUGGUUUCCAUUCCAGUUUCCCGAAUCAUGGUAAAUUAAUUGGAUUUCUGUUUGUAUAUAAGGGCGAUCUCUAGGCUUUUCAGUUUGGAGUCCUUCUUCAGGCCAGAUGAGGCCAGCGACGAUGCAUGCUCUUUGAGGUCCAGCAGAGAAGUCUGAAACCAAACUUAGCAUUGAGGUCUCGGGUAUACAGCCAACAAACACCCGUUUCGAGGUUGUUCACCUUACGUGUCUUCAUGAGCAGAUUUCUUUUUUUAAAUUUCUCCAAAGUAUUUUAUUAUACAUGUUAGAAAAAAAAAAUGGAAUAUACAACAAAUCAUUUUCUUAAUCAGUAUUUUGUCUCUUGUUCCAGUAAAAACAAAAAAUCUAAAUAACCUUAAGAGAAUUUAGCAUGUUUAGUAUUGUUACCUAAAACCAUUAAAAUAAUUUUGUCAGUUGAAAUAUUUAAAUCUAAAAAAUAUAAAACAUAACAUAAAGCACAUAAAAUUACUAAAAACUUAAACUAAAAUUAAAAUGAAAGCUGAAAACAGAAAAGACUAUUUAAAAUAUUAAUAAAAACUAUAAAUAAUCCUAAUAUAACACUCCAGCAUAGAUUAACUUGAAAUGCAAAACUGUGAUGACUU
This is a long non-coding RNA of Labeo rohita (rohu), 745 nucleotides long. RefSeq lists it as uncharacterized. The transcript is spliced from 2 exons. The record is from RefSeq and is a predicted model, not a curated record. Lineage: Eukaryota; Metazoa; Chordata; Actinopteri; Cypriniformes; Cyprinidae.